GACGAACGCUGGCGGCGUGCCUAACACAUGCAAGUCGAACGGAAAGGCCCUGCUUUUGCGGGGUGCUCGAUUGCCGAACGGGUGAGUAACACGUGAGUAACCUGCCCUUGACUUUGUGAUAACUUCAGGAAACUCGGGCUAAUACCGGAUAGGAUCUCCUGCUGCAUGGUGGGGGUUGGAAAGUUUCGGCGGUUGGGGAUGGUCUCGCGGCUUAUCAGCUUGUUGGUGGGGUAGGGGCUUACCAAGGCUUCGCCGGGUAGCCGGCCUGAGAGGGUGACCGGCCACAUUGGGACUGAGAUACGGCCCAGACUGCUACGGGAGGCAGCAGUGGGGAGUAUUACACAAUGGGCGGGAGCCAGAUGCAGCAGCGCCGCGUGCGGGAUGACGGGCUUCGGGUUGUAAACCGCUGUCGCCUGAGACGAGGAGUGAGUGACGGUAAUGGGUAAAGAAGCACCGGCUAACUACGUG
This 468-nucleotide ribosomal RNA is filed under the name uncultured bacterium. Its description in RNAcentral is "partial 16S ribosomal RNA". It matches the Rfam family "Bacterial small subunit ribosomal RNA", at positions 28 to 507 of the family's 1533-position model. The record is from RNAcentral.